This 260-nucleotide ribosomal RNA is filed under the name uncultured bacterium. RNAcentral describes it as "partial 16S ribosomal RNA". It matches the Rfam family "Bacterial small subunit ribosomal RNA", at positions 335 to 616 of the family's 1533-position model. The record is from RNAcentral.
ACUCCUACGGGAGGCAGCAGUGGGAAUCUUAGACAAUGGGGGAAACCCUGAUCUAGCCAUGCCGCGUGAGUGACGAAGGCCCUAGGGUCGUAAAGCUCUUUCGCUGGGGAAGAUAAUGACUGUACCCAGUAAAGAAACCCCGCUACUCCGUGCCAGCAGCCGCGGUAAUACGGAGGGGUUAGCGUUGUUCGGAAUUACUGGGCGUAAAGCGCGCGUAGGCGGACUAUUAAGUCAGAGGUGAAAUCCCGGGGCUCAACCCC